AUAUAAGAAUAAUUGAUGAUACACAAGUCUCAAUGGAACGGCAUCCAUAUGAAACCCAAUGAUUAUGUGGGCAAAGCCUGAUUGCAAUAGCGGCCAAUGAGAAGAUGAAGAAGAAUGUGGUACAAUGUGACCUCCACCGUGACGCCUUUGAAACGCCUCUGACCUUUAAGUGAUGGCGAAAGGAAACGUAAGAGGAACACAAGUCUAAUGGACGCAGUGGAAGCGUUGAGGUGGAUUCUGACUAAAAUAACCAAAUCACGCUAUUAAACACGGCAAACAGGGUUUGCUGACUUUGGACGGAUGAUGUAUAAGGUGUAUAAACACAUGGAUGGAUGAAUGAUAGAUGGAUGAAUAGAUGAAUGGACCGACUGACAGGUGGAUGGAUGAAUGAUAGAUGGAUGAAUAGAUGAAUGGACCGACUGACAGGUGGAUGGAUGAAUGAUAGAUGGAUGAAUAGAUGAAUGGACCGACUGACAGAUGGAUGGAUGAAUGAUAGAUGGAUGAAUACAUUAAUACAAUACAGGUACUGUCGUCCAGGCGUUGUUCCUCCGCACACAAAGCAAAGUCCGUUUAAC
Molecule: long non-coding RNA, 575 nt
Organism: Gasterosteus aculeatus aculeatus (three-spined stickleback)
Lineage: Eukaryota; Metazoa; Chordata; Actinopteri; Perciformes; Gasterosteidae
Source: Ensembl